RNAcentral lists this ribosomal RNA (253 nucleotides) under uncultured bacterium. RNAcentral's name for it is "partial 16S ribosomal RNA". It matches the Rfam family "Bacterial small subunit ribosomal RNA", at positions 524 to 776 of the family's 1533-position model. The record is from RNAcentral.
UACGUAGGGCGCAAGCGUUGUCCGGAAUUAUUGGGCGUAAAGAGCUCGUAGGCGGCUUGUCACGUCGGAUGUGAAAGCCCGGGGCUUAACCCCGGGUCUGCAUUCGAUACGGGCAGGCUAGAGUGUGGUAGGGGAGAUCGGAAUUCCUGGUGUAGCGGUGAAAUGCGCAGAUAUCAGGAGGAACACCGGUGGCGAAGGCGGAUCUCUGGGCCAUUACUGACGCUGAGGCGCGAAAGCGUGGGGAGCAAACAGG